Long non-coding RNA from Stylophora pistillata, 1344 nucleotides. The record is from RefSeq and is a predicted model, not a curated record. Lineage: Eukaryota; Metazoa; Cnidaria; Anthozoa; Scleractinia; Pocilloporidae.
AUAUAGUACACACUACUGGUUCAUUUCAGAGCUUUGUUGGAUAUAUCAGAUGUGUUGGGAACCUGCUAUCUGUGUGCCUCCCUUCAAGGCAGCAAUCUCGAUAAAAGUGCUUGUGGAAAACAUCAACAAUCUCAACAAUCAAGUGACAAUGUGGAGAUAAUGGUAAUGCACCCCACGUUAACUUCCAACAGGAUGAUAGUUUGAAGUAUGAUAGCAGGAAAUGACAGUAGCCUUACAAGAGAGUUGGUAGAAGCAAUACGCCAAGGCAAGGAGGCUUAAAUGUUCUAAAGGCUCAAAGGGACUCUUGGAAAGGGACCGAGCUAGAAGAUUACAGCAGGAACUUGAAUUGCAAGCUUCUGUUUACAAGUUUUGUAGAUCACAGAUAAAUUGGCAAGCAUUGAAUUGAUUCAAAAUUGUGUACCAAAGACAGUUAAAUCUGUAUACACCACACAUGCAACACAGAAAUGCCAAUGUGCAUUAGAAAAACGAAUAUAAACUUCACUCAUGUAAACUGCUUAUAGAAAGAACUCAAGGUGUAUAUCUUUUUGGUAGAAGACAAAAAUUAAAAAGUACAAAAUUAAUAAUAAUGAGGAAACUGAAAAUACCAUCAUUGGCUUUCUGGAUAAACCACUCAUACGCCACAAAGAUAGCACUAUGAACUAGGAAACAAAUGUAACUUUGUUGAUGUAAACAGCAAAUAGAAAGGAAUCAUGAUGUAUUUUUUUCUUUUUGUAGAAAAUAAAAAUUAAUAUACAAACAAGAAUGAAGAAACUGGAAUGGCAAUUGAAUUUAUUAACAAUAAAUAAACCAGAUAAUAUCUGAAAAGUAGUCCUUCCAAAACUCCACAUCAACAGAAAUGCGUAUACCAGUAUAUUAUAUGUAAAAUUUAUUAGUGUAAGUGCGUGGAGGCAUCUGUUUUUGCACUCGAGUGAAAUGUGGCUGUAUAUAUAUAGUGCUAUUAAAGUAAAACAAGAAAUUGGGAAAUUAUCACUUUUAUGCCCCAUGUUAAUUGUCUACUAAAUUAAAUUCAAUGUAUUUUACUUAUAUGGCUGGCUGAUCUUGGUGAAGGGGAAAGUUUGGAUGAAACUGUGGUGGAUUCUGCGGAGGUCCGCAAGAGAAGGUUCGAAAAGUUUAGUGAAGGGGAAUCUUGUAAAUAUCCCCGUAAUAAUGAGAGUAACUGUGAUGAAGACAGUAGAAUUACUUUCAAGAAUUAAUGAUUUGUAUUUUUUUUUUAGUAACAUCUCAAUUGUUCAACUUAAUAAAUUUUCACUUCUAUUUGAUUUUUAGUGAUUUUUUCGCAAUAGUUUAUUAUGGAUUGAUUUCAAUACCAUGAAUUAUUGUAAU